Haemorhous mexicanus (house finch) is the source of this 1081-nucleotide long non-coding RNA. RefSeq lists it as uncharacterized. The transcript is spliced from 3 exons. The record is from RefSeq and is a predicted model, not a curated record. NCBI's taxonomy places the organism in Eukaryota, Metazoa, Chordata, Aves, Passeriformes, Fringillidae.
AGGAGAGGUGCUGUCACCACGGGGCUCUGUGACCCUCCACACUGCUCUUCAAGACCUGUGGCAUCUUCAUUCCAAGAGCUCAGUGAUGAAAGUUGGUGGAAAGCAGAUGGAGGUGCUGGGAAGGGCUUGUGGAGAGAGAGAUGGGGCUCCAUUUUUACUUAGUUGGAGUGAAGUGCUGCAGAACUCAGGGUCUGUGAGACUGUGACAGAGAUAAGAACUGAUAAACAUCUGAGUCUGAACAGGAAAUACCAUCUCACACAUUUAAUCCUGACCCUGACAAGAAAGAAGUUAAGACUCGACAGCCUUCCACUGGACAAAGCACAAGGGGUAACUCCCUUCAAAGUCACAAUGGAUGCUUCCUUCCUGCUUCAAAAUCCAAAUGGAUGCUUCCUUCCUGACCUGGGGGUGUUUUCAGACCAUCUUGGUGACACCUGGAUGUGCUCAUAAAUACAGACAGCAAUCUUUGCUUGCUCCUGGCCCUGCUCCUCUUCCUGGGCCACUGGGUUGAAUUUUUGUGAUGACAAAUUUUGAAUUUUGAAUUUUUGCUCCAGUGUGGUAGGAGCAAAAGAUUCCUGCAAAAGCCAGGAAUCGUGGAAUAGCCUGAGCUGGGACCUACAAGGAUCAUUGAUCCAGCUCCUGGCCCUGCACAGACACCCCAACAAUCCCAUCCUGUCCCUGGGAGAUUGUCCAAAUUCUCCUGGAGCUCUGGCAGCAUCAGGGCCGUGCCCAUUCCCUGGGGAGCCUGGGCAGUGCCCAGCACCCUCUGGGGGAAGAACCUUUCCCUGAUAUCCAACCUCAACCUCUCCUGGGACAGCUCUGGCCAUUCCCUUGGAUCCUGGCACUGUCACAGGGAGCAGAGAUUGGAGUUGUCCCUGUGCUGUCCCUCAGGAGUAGCUGCAGUCCCCAGUGAGUGCCCCCUCAGUGUCCCCUUCUCCAGACUCCAUCCAGUCCUUCCCUGCCACCUUCUCUCAUCUGGCCCAUUGCUCCCCCUUCCUUGCUCACCUGAGCUCACCUGAACCUCCCUCACACAUGGUGGGAUGUGAGCUGGCUGUGUCCAUCACCUUGUGCUUCCUUGCUGGGA